UACGGAAGGCAGCAGUGGGGAAUAUUGCACAAUGGGCGCAAGCCUGAUGCAGCCAUGCCGCGUGUAUGAAGAAGGCCUUCGGGUUGUAAAGUACUUUCAGUCGUGAGGAAGGUGUUAAGGUUAAUAACCUUAGCAAUUAGACGUUAGCGACAGAAGAAGCACCGGCUAACUCCGUGCCAGCAGCCGCGGUAAUACGGAGGGUGCGAGCGUUAAUCGGAAUUACUGGGCGUAAAGGGCACGCAGGCGGUUAAUUAAGUUGGAUGUGAAAUCCCCGGGCUUAACCUGGGAAUGGCAUUCAAGACUGGUUAGCUAGAGUCUUGUAGAGGGGGUAGAAUUCCAUGUGUAGCGGUGAAAUGCGUAGAGAUGUGGAGGAAUACCGGUGGCGAAAGGCGGGCCCCCUGGAGAAACCGAUCGACGCUCAUGUGCGAAAGCGUGGGGAGCAAACAGGGAUUAGAUACC
Molecule: ribosomal RNA, 459 nt
Filed under: uncultured bacterium
Lineage: Bacteria
Description: bacterial SSU rRNA
Rfam family: Bacterial small subunit ribosomal RNA
Source: RNAcentral